Molecule: ribosomal RNA, 433 nt
Filed under: uncultured bacterium
Lineage: Bacteria
Description: partial 16S ribosomal RNA
Rfam family: Bacterial small subunit ribosomal RNA
Source: RNAcentral
AACGAACGCUGGCGGCAUGCCUAACACAUGCAAGUCGAACGAGACCUCCCCGUCUAGUUGCGCAGGGGUGCGUACGGCGGGGUAACCUGCCCUUAGGCUCGCAAUAACUCCCCGAAAGGGGUGCUAAUACCGGGUCAUGUCUUCGGACCAAAGAUUUAUCGCCUUUGGAUGGGCCCGCGUUGGGUUAGUUAGUUGGUAGGGGAAAAGCAUACCAAGGCGUGGAUCCUUAGCUGGUCGGCGAGGAGGAUCAGCCACACUGGGACGGAGACACGGCCCAGACUCGUACGGGAGGCAGCAGAGGGUAAUAUAGGGGGAGGGGCGCAAGCCUGAUCCAGCAAUGCCGGGUGAGUGAGGAAGGCGUUAGGGUUGUAAAGCUCUUUGAGCCGAGAUGAUAGUGACGGUACCGGGAGAAGAAGCUCCGGCUAACUACGUG